CCGCAUCCUUGACAGCCUGGGACUCCCAUCUGUGGUCUACCCUGGGUCUCUAUAAAGGUGAUGCCAAAUCAAUGACCCUUCGCUUUCUGCCCACUCCCCAGUGGUGGCUCUGAUUGAAUAGGGGACGACAUGA
RNAcentral lists this small nucleolar RNA (133 nucleotides) under Hucho hucho (huchen). Its description in RNAcentral is "Small nucleolar RNA SNORA31 (ENSHHUG00000003956.1)". The record is from RNAcentral. Lineage: Eukaryota; Metazoa; Chordata; Actinopteri; Salmoniformes; Salmonidae.